RNAcentral lists this transfer RNA (72 nucleotides) under Olavius sp. associated proteobacterium Delta 1. RNAcentral describes it as "tRNA-Pseudo-CCA". It matches the Rfam family "tRNA". From Rfam's summary of the family: Transfer RNA (tRNA) molecules are approximately 80 nucleotides in length. Lineage: Bacteria; Deltaproteobacteria. The record is from RNAcentral.
GCACCGGAGGUCAUGGCGGCCAAACUGGCUCCAAACCAGCAGGAUAAGGUUCGAUUCCUUACCGGUGUGCCA